This 497-nucleotide ribosomal RNA is filed under the name uncultured bacterium. Its description in RNAcentral is "partial 16S ribosomal RNA". It matches the Rfam family "Bacterial small subunit ribosomal RNA", at positions 28 to 507 of the family's 1533-position model. The record is from RNAcentral.
GAUGAACGCUGGCGGCGUGCCUAAUACAUGCAAGUCGAGCGAACGGACGAGAAGCUUGCGUCUCUGAUGUUAGCGGCGGACGGGUGAGUAACACGUGUAUAACCUACCUAUAAGACGGGGAAAACUUCGGGAAACCGUAGCUAAUACCGGAGAAUCUUUUGAACCGCAUGGUUGAAAAGUAAAAUACGGUCUUGCUGGCACUUAUAGCUGGAUCCGCGCUGCAUUAGCUAGUUGGUAAGGUAACGGCUUACCAAGGCAACGAUGCAUAGCCGAACUGAGGGAGUGAUCGGCCACACUGGAACGGAGCCGCGGUCCUGACUCCUGCGAGAGGCAGCAGUAGGGUAUCUGCCGCAGUGGGCGAAAGCCUGGCGGAGCGACGCCGCGUGAGUGAUGGAAGUCUUCGGUGCGUAAAGCUCUGUUAUUAGGGGUGAACCUCUGUCUAAUUAGCUGUGCCCAUCUUGACGGUACCGAGUCAGAAAGCCCCGGCUAACUACGUG